Molecule: transfer RNA, 90 nt
Filed under: Planctomycetota bacterium
Lineage: Bacteria; Pseudomonadati; Planctomycetota
Description: Planctomycetes bacterium (activated sludge metagenome) tRNA-Ser
Rfam family: tRNA
About the family: Transfer RNA (tRNA) molecules are approximately 80 nucleotides in length. Their secondary structure includes four short double-helical elements and three loops (D, anti-codon, and T loops).
Source: RNAcentral
GGAGAGGUGGCAGAGCGGCUGAAUGCGCCACAUUGCUAAUGUGGUGUCUCCUCACGGGGACCGCGGGUUCAAAUCCCGCCCUCUCCGCCA